Saccostrea cuccullata (small rock oyster) is the source of this 895-nucleotide long non-coding RNA. RefSeq lists it as uncharacterized. NCBI's taxonomy places the organism in Eukaryota, Metazoa, Mollusca, Bivalvia, Ostreida, Ostreidae. The transcript is spliced from 4 exons. The record is from RefSeq and is a predicted model, not a curated record.
UUUUUCUUCAUAAGAAGUGCAGAUAACAAGCGUCCGGAGGAGACUGAGUUCAGCUCUCUUACAGAUUUCUCACGUGGCAACACCACAGAAAGACAUCGACAUAAAAGGGGUCUUUUUGGAGUGGAACAUCAGUUUUUCCGGGAAUAUUACAGAGAUAUAGGCCGUCUUCACGAUUAUUGUGACGCCAGAUCACCAAAUGGAAGAAUUUCAAACUGGAGAUCGUUAGAUUCAACUUCGUAUACUGACGCCAUUCUACGAUCAACAAGCUAUUAUAAAACGCAAGCAGAAAAUGGAUUGAAUGUGGACAACAAGAUUAGUAUGGUUUAGCAGAUAAUCAAUGAGCGAUAUAGACGAUCUGAACCCUACGGAGGGCCAGAUGAGGGUCAUAUGUCAUCGGAAAAUGGCAAGAGGGGCUUGUAAGAAUUCUAAACGGCAAGCGAAACUCCAAAGUCAGGUCAAAUCGCCUUACUCCCGAUCCUAGGUAUCAGCGCAUUGUUUGGGGGCUCACUUGGUCUUGGGGCAUUGUUUGAUUCCCUUCGACGUCGCCAACCAUCUACAAGGACUUCUGUUAGACGUACACAUACAUACAGAACACGUUCAUACAGAACACGUACAUAUAGAACACGUACGUACAGAACACGUUCACCUAUUCGCAGAACACGUACAUACAGAACACGUACAAGUGUUCGCACAACACGUACAAGUACUCACAGAACCUAUAGACAAUGUUAGGCUUGUAAAAAAUGUGAUGUCAAACCUUAAGAUUCUUACUAGGACAUUCUCAAACAGCAGUAAACAGAAUCAACUUUCAAAUUUUGGAAUAUUUUUUUUAUACUUUUAUAACAUAGCCUCGUUAGUUUGUUUUUUUAAUGAGGGGGGUGUCUGUGUUUUGUUU